AUAUAUGUUAAAAUAAUAAAAAAAAAACAUAAUUAGAAAAGAAGGUGACGAAAAAGAAAUUAGAAAGGGAGAAAAUAGUUUGUCGAGUCUCUCUCAUGACAUCGACGAAACCGAAGGUGGAUCCAUGUCCGAUUGAGAGUUGCCGUCGGUCCCUUUCCCACUCCGGCAACAUCUCCUCCGUCACAGCCGUCGUUGAUUUCGACACCUCCUCGCCAAGUGCCAUCGUCCCUGUCGUGUAAACCCUAGGUCUGAUUUGUCUUCCUUUUAAAAUUGACGAAAUUGAAACUACAGUUCAUAUCUGGGGGAGUUCUGAGGAUUGGAAGUAUGCAUGUAGACAUAUAUUGAAAUAUCAUUCUGCAGAGGUGCGAGCUGUCACUGUCCAUGCAACGAAUAAAUACUUUGUGUCUGCAUCGCUUGACAGUUCGUGGUGCUUCUAUGAUAUGUCCUCCGGUUUAUGCUUUGCCCAGGUUCGCAAGAAGAUGGGUUUGUUCUUGUUGAUGUUUCAUCUUCAAGGUAUCAUGGAGAAAGGCUCUUCUACAAUUUGCAUCUUGAAAUGGGAAACAUAAAUAAUCACUAACUGACGUGCUAAGAGAUAUGCCAGAGAAUGUUAUACUUGUAUUAGGAAUGUGGAAACUCGUUUCGAUGAUAAUCUGUUCUUGUUUCUUUUAGUUAUGUCAUCCGUUUCUCAACAUCUAACAUUCAUGUAGUCGAGCUGUUUCGUUUAUUUUUCUUGAAGUCAGUGAUCGAUUAUCACAUUUACACGCUACUGAAUAUUGAUUGAUUGCUAUGAAAUUCAUGCUACCAAUGAAAACUUUUACUUUUAUCUA
Brassica napus (rape) is the source of this 827-nucleotide long non-coding RNA. RefSeq lists it as uncharacterized. The transcript is spliced from 3 exons. The record is from RefSeq and is a predicted model, not a curated record. Lineage: Eukaryota; Viridiplantae; Streptophyta; Magnoliopsida; Brassicales; Brassicaceae.